UUCAUGCCAUGCUCCAAGCACACACAGUAUUUGUAACAGCCCAGAUUUCCAGGUAUCUUUUAUUCAUAUAUUUUUGGUGUUUUGUGAGGGGACUCGGCGAGUUGGAGCUCAAACUCGCCGAGUAGGAUCGCGGUUCUGGACGCAGGUUCGCGCCUGGACUCGGCGAGUCCGCGUUGUUUAAUGAAACCCUAAUUUCCCGGUCCUAAGCCCUAUUUAAAGGACCUUAUGGCCCUUCAUUGCGGCUACCUUGACCUUGAGAGCACCUAAACAGCUGAGGGUUCUUGUGAGUGAGAUAAGAGGCCAUUAUUCACCAAUUUUGUGUGUAUUUGCAAGAAAGGAAGGGGAAAAUCAAGCUAGGAGAGUUGGGGAGCUUGGAUCUACUUCCAUUUCGUCAGAGGAAGCUUCUUGAGGUAUCAUUCAGAGCUUAUUCUCGUGUUUUUGUUGUUAUGGUCAAAUCUAGGGUUUCUUCAUGCCUUGUUUGCCUUGUAUUUGGAGUGUGAGAGGUCCCAUGGGGAUAUGGUACCUAGAUCUGGACCUUAGCAGGUCCAGAGAGUCCCAAAUGCCAUGCUUUAUGUCCUUCCUUUUGGGUUGGAGACUUAGGUUGCCAUCUUAGAGGUCAUUUCUUCAAAAGGAGCCUUGUAGGUGUUGCAUGGUAGACAAGACUGUGACUUUACGUGAUGAAUGAGCUUGGGAGGGCCGGAUCUAUGAGUUGAUGGAGCGGAUUUGACCUCAGAAGCGAGAUUGAGUUGAUGAAUGGCAUGGACUCGCCGAGUCCGAAGAACAGACUCGGCGAGUAGCAUGAAGAUUGUCCUUAACCACUCAGCGAGUGGUCUUGCCGAGUUAAGGGUCGACUCAGUGAGUCAGGGAGAGUUAGAGAGGGUUGACAGGUGGACUGAGUCGAGCUAGAACUCGCCGAUUUGUUCUUGAGACUCGUCAAGUUGAGUCGUGCUGGCCCCGCGAUUCAUGCCAGGUGGGACUCAUCGAGUUGGGGGUGUACUCGACGAGUCAGGAGAGGAUCCUAGGGAGUUAGUGAACACGUAUAGACUCGCCGAGUCGCCCUAGUGCACUCGCCGAGUCCGAUCAAGGUUGAUCGUUGACUGUUGACCAAAGUUGACCAGUGUUGACUUGAUAGGGGUAGUCAACCUUAGUGGUAAAAGUGUUAAUUAGAGAUAUAUGAUGUUAUAGGAGGAUUAUAGCUCGGAGGAUCGAGCACGAGUGAUUUCCAGGAUUCGCGAGUUAUCGAGAUAUACGAGGUGAGUCUUCUCACUAUACUUUACCUUGAGUAGGUAAUCAGAGUUAUGUGACAAAGUAUUUGUAUGCUAUAUGUAAGUUAUGUGUUGUACUGCAUUAUUUAUAUGUGAUUUAUGUUGUGCAUGUUUAUAGAGUUGGAACCAAAAGGUUCCCAGAGUUAGAACCAGUAGGUUCACAGAGUAGGGUCUACGGACCCACAGAGUUAUAGCCUUGAGUGGCUAAUUUGUGUUAUUUGUGGUAUAUUGGGGAACUCACUAAGCUUUGUGCUUACAGUGUUAGUGUUGUUUGUUUCAGGUACUAGUGAUGACCGUGGGAAGGCACCAGCUUGAUCUGUACACACGCAUGGGAUUUUUAUGAUAUGUGAUCUUGGGAUUUUGUAUGAUAUGGAUUGGAGUUUUAAACUUGAUGUUUUAUGAAAAUUAAAUGAAAAUGUUUUUAUAUUAUGAGAAAAAAAUUAUUUUGAAAUUCAUGGUGUUUCAGUUUGGUAUUAGAGCCUUGGUUUGAGGGAUUCGAGUACACCUUCCGGCGUAUUUGAACUUAAACUGAGGAUUUGAGAAGUAUUUUCAAAAAGAGUAAAAGAUUUUGGAAAAAACGCAGAGCAGAGUGUGUGUACGAUCGGUCCGCGCCCGAAUGGAGAUUUCCCAAAAUACCCUCAUAUUUUGUGAUAUUGAUAUUGAUAUAAUGUAUUCGCAUGCUAGAGUAGGCUAGGUAUUCCUAUUAGGACUAGAGUGGCCUGAUUUGUGAUGCCUUAGCCUACGAAGAGGUGAGCUGCUAUGAGAUGCUUGAGAGUGAGUAGGUAGCAGCGAAGAGUUUAUGAGAGAUCUUUUAGAGAAUGGCCUAUGCAUGAUAGAGUAUUUGGAAUUUGGGACCCGAAGAGGAGGACUUGCGGUGUAUUCUGAUACGGUGUGGAUAGUAGUAUUGGGCCCGUACUACUGAAAGCACCGGAGCGGUGUACAGCCCAAGUAAGAAUCUUUGGAAUACCAAGGAUCAAGGAGGAAUGAGUUGUCGAGUGUGAGUAUGCUCGAAGGGGUUCUAAUUUUUCGUAUGUUGUAUUUCAGAGGUAGAUCAUGGUGAGGACACGUUUGAUGCCUGAGAGCAGUGAUACCAGUGAUGAGGAGAUCCGCCGGAUCAUCCACGAGGAGGUGGCUGCGGCCAUCAGGGCAGUGAUACCAGAGAUGUUCGGGUCUAUUAAGACCACGUUGAUUGAGACUUUUGACGAGUGUUAUGCCGCUCUUUUGGAGGCUGUUGUUGCAGUGGCCACCGCAGCUAUUGCUGUCGCGAGGCCGCAAGGUGGUGAUGCGUUGCUGUUCCGGGAGUUCAGCAACACAAAACCACCAGAUUUCGAUGGGACCCAAGACCCGGUGGCAGCUAUGAGGUGGAUUCCUGACAUAGAGGGGUGUUUCUUCACUUGCUCAUCUCCUGAGCAUUUGAAGGUUCGGUUCGCGCUGAACCAGCUUCGCUUGGGAGCGAAGGACUGGUGGAAGUUUGUGACGGCGCACUUUACGCCUGCUGAGCUUGCGACAGUGACCUGGGAGAGGUUCACUGCCAUGUUCUGAGAUGAGUACGUUCCACAGGUGGAGAGGGAGCGUUUGGCCCAGGAGUUUCUGACCCUCAAGCAAGGUACUGAGUCGGUUACAGCGACUACCAGGAUGUUCCAUGAGAGGGCGAUGUUCUGCCCUGAGCACGUGUCCACCGAGCAGGCACGUAUGAGCCGAUAUCUGAGUAUCUUGAGGCGAGAAAUUCGGGAGUUCGGGGCGAACUUCUUGUACCGGACAUUUGCUUUGCUUCAGGCAAAUGCCCGGAAGAGGGAGAUUGAGCUAGAGACUCAGGCCAGGGAGGAGGCAGAGUCUCAGGGGAGAGAUCGGUGACCGGCAUAGUCUCAGCCGGCACCCAAGCGGGCUAAGCCUGCUAAUCCCAAACCAGGGAGCCAGAAGGGCCGCACUUGUGGGAAGUGUGGCAAGGGUCAUGAUGGAGUCUGUAGAGCGGGAUCUUUCUACAAGUGUGGAAAGUAGGGGCACAUGGCCAAGGACUGCCCCAAGGGGUUUGCAGUGCGUUUCCACUGCAACCAGACCGGACACCGGAAAGCGGAGUGUCCGCAGUUGUGGGGAUCAGCUCAGGGAGCACCUCAAGGAUCUGCCCCUGCCGCCAUCAGAGUUACCGAGAGUCGGCCAAUGAAGGCCGAGGCGCCGAGGGCACGAGGGAAAGCCUUUCAGUUGACCGCGGNUCAGUGUUAGUCGUGUGGCGUUGAGUCGGCCUCUGAGAGUGUCCAUAGCUGACGAGAGGCUGAUAUAUGCCACGGAGGUUCUCCGAGGGUGCGUAGUCGAGAUUUUCGGUGUUGAGUUCCCGAUUGAUCUGGUUCCUAUUGCGAUGGGUGAUGUCUGUGUCAUUGUGGGCAUGGAUUGGUUGAGCAGAUUCGGUGCGGUUAUCGACUGUGAGCGACAGCUGGUGACCAUACGAGACCCUAGUGGGGGAGUUCUUUCGGUGUACGGCGAGGGUACACGUUCAGGAUCAGCGUUUUGUUCGGCCGCUAGGGCGAGGCAGUGUCUACAGCAGGGCUGUAAGGGUUUUGUGGCGUAUGUGAUGGAUACGCGGGUGGAUUCCGAGAGGCCGAGUUCAGUUGAGGAGGUUCCGGUAGUGCGUGAGUUCCCGGAUGUAUUUCCCGAGGAGUUGCCGGGUGUGCCUCCUGUGAGGCAAGUGGAGUUCAGUAUCGAUUUGGUUCCGGGGGCCGCGCCUAUCGCUAAGGUGCCUUAUCGCCUUGCACCUCCAGAGAUGCAAGAGUUAUCCUCGCAGCUUCAGGAGCUGCUGGGGAAGGGGUUUAUUCGGCCGAGCAGCUCGCCGUGGGGAGCGCCUAUCCUGUUCGUCAAGAAGAAGGAUGGUUCACACCGGAUGUGCAUUGAUUACCGGGAGUUGAACAAGCUGACGGUCAAGAACCGUUACCCGUUGCCGAGGAUCGACGAUUUGUUCGAUCAGUUGCAGGGAGCAUCUUGGUUCUCCAAGAUCGAUUUGAGGUCUGGAUAUCAUCAGGUGAGGGUGCGGGAUGAGGACGUCCAGAAGACAGCGUUCAGGACGCGUUAUGGGCAUUAUGAGUUUGUGGUGAUGCCUUUUGGGCUCACCAAUGCCCCGGCAGUGUUCAUGGAUCUCAUGAACCGAGUGUGUAGGCCGAUGCUGGAUCGGUCGGUGAUUGUAUUUAUCGACGACAUUCUGGUAUAUUCGAGAUCUAGAGAGCAGCAUGAGGAGCAUUUGAGAGAGGUUCUCGGAGUUCUGAGAUCGGAGAGGCUUUAUGCCAAAUUCUCCAAGUGUGAUUUCUGGUUGCGGGAGGUCCAGUUCUUAGGACAUCUCGUUAACCAGGAAGGGAUAUUGGUCGAUCCGGCCAAGGUUGAGGCGGUGAUGAGUUGGGAGGUGCCGAAGUCACCCUCCGAGAUCAGGAGUUUCCUAGGGUUGGCAGGGUAUUAUCGGAGGUUUAUCAAGGAUUUCUCUAAGAUCGCAGUGCCACUCACCAGAUUGACCCGGAAGGGUGUUGCUUUUUCAUGGGGCCCCGAGCAGCAGGCCUCCUUUGAGACACUUCGCCAAAGGUUAUGCGAAGCCCCGGUGUUAGCCCUCCCGGAAGGGAUGGAGGACUUUGUGGUAUACUGUGAUGCAUCGAUUUUGGGGUUGGGAGCGGUGCUGAUGCAGAGAGGGCAUGUGAUAGCAUAUGCAUCGAGGCAGCUGAAGCCUCAUGAGACGAGAUAUCCCACCCAUGAUCUAGAGUUGGGGGCAGUGGUGUUCGCCCUCAAGAUUUGGCGUCACUACCUGUAUGGGGUUCGGUGUACGAUAUACACGGACCAUAAGAGUUUGAAGUAUUUGAUGGAUCAGCCCAACCUAAAUAUGCGACAGAGAAGGUGGUUGGAUGUGGUCAAGGAUUAUGAUUGUGAGAUCCUGUACCACCCAGGCAAGGCUAAUGUGGUAGCCGAUGCAUUGAGCCGCAGGGCGGAGAGCACCCCGCUGCGGGAUGUAUGUUUGAGAUUGACCGUGAUAGCUCCAGUGUUGGACGCCAUUCGUGGGGCACAGGCCGAGGCUGUGCAACCUGAGAUGCAGAAGAGGGAGCGGGUUGUUGGUUUGGUUUCAGAGUUCGUUACCGAUGGUCGGGGGCUUAUGACAUUUCAGGGGCGUAUCUGGGUGCCGUUUGUGGGAGGAACGCGUACCAUUUUGAUGGAAGAGGCUCAUCGGUCGAAGUUUUCGAUCCAUCCUGGGGCCACUAAGAUGUAUUUGGACCUGAGGAAAGAGUAUUGGUGGCCCUGUAUGAAGAGGGAUGUUGCGUGGUUUGUUGAGAGGUGUUUGAGCUGCCGUAGGGUUAAGGCCGAGCACCAGAGGCUGCAUGGUAAGUUGCAGCCAUUGGAGGUUCCCAAAUGGAAGUGAGAACAGAUCACUAUGGAUUUCUUCACCAAAUUGCCAAGGACUGCCAGAGGAGUUGAUGCAAUUUGGGUGAUUGUGGACAGAUUGACGUAGAGCGCUCAUAUUCUUGCUAUCAGCGAGAGUUCUUCAGCAGAGAAAUUGGCAGAGGUGUAUGUCAGGGAAGUGGUAUCUCGGCAUGGGGUGCCGAUCUUGAUUGUUUCAGACCAUGAUGUGCGCUUCAAUUCUAGAUUCUGGAAGAAGUUUCAUGAGGAGUUAGGUACUAGACUGCAUUUUAGUACCACAUAUCAUCCCCAGACAGACGGUCAGAGUGAGCGGACAAUUCAGACGCUCGAGGACAUGCUCCGGGCAUGUGUGUUGGAUUUUGGGGGUAUCUAGGAUGCAUAUUUGCCCUUGGCAGAGUUUUCCUACAACAACAGCCAUCAUUCGAGCAUUGGUAUGCCACCCUUUGAGCUGUUGUAUGGGAGAAGGUAUCGGACCCCCAUUUGUUGGGGAGAGGUUGGACAACGGGUAAUGGGCGGUACAGAGAUCGUGCUUCAGACGUCAGAGCAUAUCCAGCAGGUCAGACAGAGGUUGUUGACCGCUCAGAGCCGACAGAAGAGUUAUGCAGACAGACGCCGGUCCGAGCUUGAGUUUCAGGUCGGCGACCUUGUACUCCUGAAGGUCUCUCCUUGGAAAGGAGUGAUUCGAUUCAGGAAGAGGGGCAAGUUGGGGCCCCGAUAUAUUGGUCCUUUCCGUGUGAUCGCGAGGGUAGGCCGGGUAGCCUAUCGUUUGGAUUUGCCAGCAGAGUUGGGGCAGAUUCACGACACUUUUCAUGUGUCGCAGCUGAGGAAGUGUAUAGCCGACGAGUCGGCAGUGGUUCCAUUAGAGGAUAUUCAGGUGGAUGCGAGCCUGAAUUAUGCCGAGAGACCAGUGGCCAUCAGAGAUCGGAAAGUCAAGGUUCUGAGGAACAAGGAGGUACCCCUGGUGUUGGUUCAGUGGCAGCAUCGGAAGGGGUCAGAGAUGACCUGGGAGCCGGAGCGUGAGAUGCGUGAGCAGCAUCCGGAGCUAUUUGCAGAGCGAGACUUCGAGGGCGAAGUCUAGUUCUAGUGGGGGAGAAUUGUAACAGCCCGGAUUUCCAGGUAUCUUUUAUUCAUAUAUUUUUGGUGUUUUGUGAGGGGACUCGGCGAGUUGGAGCUCAAACUCGCCGAGUAGGAUCGCGGUUCUGGACGCGGGUUCGCGCCUGGACUCGGCGAGUCCGCGCUGUUUAAUGAAACCCUAAUUUCCCGGUCCUAAGCCCUAUUUAAAGGACCUUAUGGCCCUUCAUUGCGGCUACCUUGACCUUGAGAGCACCUAAACAGCUGAGGGUUCUUGUGAGUGAGAUAAGAGGCCAUUAUUCACCAAUUUUGUGUGUAUUUGCAAG
This 7042-nucleotide long non-coding RNA is filed under the name Lactuca sativa (garden lettuce). RNAcentral's name for it is "long non-coding RNA (LSAT_LNC002600)". The record is from RNAcentral. Lineage: Eukaryota; Viridiplantae; Streptophyta; Magnoliopsida; Asterales; Asteraceae.